UGCAGUUAAAAAGCUCGUAGUUGGAUUUCUGUUGAGAACAGCCGGUCCGCAUUUUGUGCGUGCAUCUGGUUUGAACUUGGCAUCCUUUCCAGGAACGUAUCUGCGAUUUGGUUCGUGGUGCGGUACUGGAAACUUUUACUUUGAGGAAAUUAGAGUGUUCACGGCAGGCAAUCGCCUUGAAUAUAUUAGCAUGGAAUAAUAAUAUAGGAUCUUGGGUCUAUUUUGUUGGUUUCUAGAGCUAAGAUAAUGAUUAAUAGGGACAAUUGGGGGCAUUCGUAUUAACACGUCAGAGGUGGAAUUCUAGAUUGUGUUACGACGAACUACUGCGAAAGCAUUUGCCAAGGAUGUUUUCAUUGGUCAAGAACGUAAGUGAGGGGAUCGAGGAUGAUUAGAUACCGUCGUAGUCUUCACCAUAAACUAUGCCGACUAGAGAUUGGAGGUCGUCCUUUUAUGACUCCUUCGGCACCUUAUGAGAAAUCAAAGUCUUUGGGUUCCGGGGGGAGUAUGGUCGCAAGGCUGAAACUUAAAGGAAUUGACGGAAGGGCACCACCAGGAGUGGAGCCUGCGGCUUAAUUUGACUCAACACGGGAAAACUUACCAGGUCCAGACAUAGUUAGGAUUGACAGAUUAAGAGCUCUUUCUUGAUUCUAU
This 651-nucleotide ribosomal RNA is filed under the name uncultured marine eukaryote. RNAcentral describes it as "SSU rRNA". It matches the Rfam family "Eukaryotic small subunit ribosomal RNA", at positions 614 to 1271 of the family's 1831-position model. The record is from RNAcentral.